AGAUUGAACGCUGGCGGCAUGCCUUACACAUGCAAGUCGAACGGUAGAGUAGCAAUACUUGAGAGUGGCGAACGGGUGAGUAAUAUAUCGGAACGUGCCCAGUCGUGGGGGAUAACGUAGAGAAAUUUACGCUAAUACCGCAUACGAUCUAAGGAUGAAAGCGGGGGACCGUAAGGCCUCGCGCGAUUGGAGCGGCUGAUAUCAGAUUAGGUUGUUGGUGAGGUAAAAGCUCACCAAGCCGACGAUCUGUAGCUGGUUUGAGGGAACGACCAGCCACACUGGGACUGAGACACGGCCCAGACUCCUACGGGAGGCAGCAGUGGGAAUUUGGACAAUGGCGAAAGCCUGAUCCAGCAAUAGCCGCGUGCAGGAAGAAGG
Molecule: ribosomal RNA, 378 nt
Filed under: uncultured soil bacterium
Lineage: Bacteria
Description: bacterial SSU rRNA
Rfam family: Bacterial small subunit ribosomal RNA
Source: RNAcentral